AGAGUUUUAUCCUGGCUCAGAUUGAACGCUGGCGGCAGGCCUAACACAUGCAAGUCGAGCGGCAGCGGAAGGAAGCUUGCUUCCUUGCCGGCGAGCGGCGGACGGGUGAGUAAGGUAUGGGGAUCUGGCCGAAGGCGGGGGAUAACCACUGGAAACGGUGGCUAAUACCGCAUAAUCUCUAAGGAGCAAAGUGGGGGACCAUUAUGGCCUCACACCUUCGGAUGAACCCAUAUGAGAUUAGCUAGUAGGUGGGGUAAAGGCUCACCUAGGCGACGAUCUCUAGCUGGUCUGAGAGGAUGAUCAGCCACACUGGGACUGAGACACGGCCCAGACUCCUACGGGAGGCAGCAGUGGGGAAUAUUGCACAAUGGGCGCAAGCCUGAUGCAGCCAUGCCGCGUGUAUGAAGAAGGCCUUCGGGUUGUAAAGUACUUUCAGUCGUGAGGAAGGUGUUAAGGUUAAUAGCCUUAGCAAUUGACGUUAGCGACAGAAGAAGCACCGGCUAACUCCGUGCCAGCAGCCGCGGUAAUACGGAGGGUGCGAGCGUUAAUCGAAAUUACUGGGCGUAAAGGGCACGCAGGCGGUUAAUUAAGUUGGAUGUGAAAUCCCCGGGCUUAACCUGGGAAUGGCAUUCAAGACUGGUUAGCUAGAGUCUUGUAGAGGGGGGUAGAAUUCCAUGUGUAGCGGUGAAAUGCGUAGAGAUGUGGAGGAAUACCGGUGGCGAAGGCGGCUCCCUGGACAAAGACUGACGCUCAUGUGCGAAAGCGUGGGGAGCAAACAGGAUUAGAUACCCUGGUAGUCCACGCUGUAAACGAUGUCGAUUUGGAGGUUGUGGUCUAGAACUGUGGCCUCCGGAGCUAACGCGUUAAAUCGACCGCCUGGGGGAGUACGGCCGCAAGGUAAAACUCAAAUGAAUUGACGGGGGCCCGCACAGCGGGUGGAGCAUGUGGUUUAAUUCGAUGCACGCGAGAACCUUACCUACUCUUGACAUCCAGCGAGCCUUUAGAGAUAGAGGUGUGCCUUCGGGAGCGCUGAGACAGGUGCUGCAUGGCUGUCGUCAGCUCGUGUUGUGAAAUGUUGGGUUAAGUCCCGCAACGAGCGCAACCCUUAUCCUUUGUUGCCAGCGAUUCGGUCGGGAACUCAAAGGAGACUGCCGGUGAUAAACCGGAGGAAGGUGGGGAUGACGUCAAGUCAUCAUGGCCCUUACGAGUAGGGCUACACACGUGCUACAAUGGCGUAUACAAAGAGAAGCGACCUCGCGAGAGCAAGCGGACCUCAUAAAGUACGUCGUAGUCCGGAUUGGAGUCUGCAACUCGACUCCAUGAAGUCGGAAUCGCUAGUAAUCGUAGAUCAGAAUGCUACGGUGAAUACGUUCCCGGGCCUUGUACACACCGCCCGUCACACCAUGGGAGUGGGUUGCAAAAGAAGUAGGUAGCUUAACCUUCGGGAGGGCGCUUACCACUUUGUGAUUCAUGACUGGGGUGAAGUCGUAACAAGGUAACCGUAGGGGAACCUGCGGCUGGAUCACCU
RNAcentral lists this ribosomal RNA (1528 nucleotides) under uncultured bacterium. RNAcentral describes it as "bacterial SSU rRNA". It matches the Rfam family "Bacterial small subunit ribosomal RNA". The record is from RNAcentral.